AGUCGAGGGGUAUAGUUCUUCGGAGCUAGAGACCGGCGCACGGGUGCGUAACGCGUAUGCAAUCUACCUUUUACAGAGGGAUAGCCCAGAGAAAUUUGGAUUAAUACCUCAUAGUAUAGCUGUACCGCAUGGUACUACUAUUAAAGUCACAACGGUAAAAGAUGAGCAUGCGUCCCAUUAGCUAGUUGGUAAGGUAACGGCUUACCAAGGCUACGAUGGGUAGGGGUCCUGAGAGGGAGAUCCCCCACACUGGUACUGAGACACGGACCAGACUCCUACGGGAGGCAGCAGUGAGGAAUAUUGGACAAUGGGCGCAAGCCUGAUCCAGCCAUGCCGCGUGCAGGAUGACGGUCCUAUGGAUUGUAAACUGCUUUUAUACGAGAAGAAACACUACUUCGUGAAGUAGCUUGACGGUAUCGUAAGAAUAAGGAUCGGCUAACUCCGUGCCAGCAGCCGCGGUAAUACGGAGGAUCCAAGCGUUAUCCGGAAUCAUUGGGUUUAAAGGGUCCGUAGGCGGUCUUAUAAGUCAGUGGUGAAAUCUCCCCGCUCAACGGGGAAACGGCCAUUGAUACUGUAGGACUUGAAUUAUUAGGAAGUAACUAGAAUAUGUAGUGUAGCGGUGAAAUGCUUAGAGAUUACAUGGAAUACCAAUUGCGAAGGCAGGUUACUACUAAUGGAU
RNAcentral lists this ribosomal RNA (679 nucleotides) under Flavobacterium sp. RNAcentral describes it as "bacterial SSU rRNA". It matches the Rfam family "Bacterial small subunit ribosomal RNA", at positions 60 to 740 of the family's 1533-position model. The record is from RNAcentral. Lineage: Bacteria; Pseudomonadati; Bacteroidota; Flavobacteriia; Flavobacteriales; Flavobacteriaceae.